Molecule: transfer RNA, 72 nt
Filed under: Candidatus Heimdallarchaeota archaeon LC_2
Lineage: Archaea; Promethearchaeati; Candidatus Heimdallarchaeota
Description: tRNA-Gln
Rfam family: tRNA
About the family: Transfer RNA (tRNA) molecules are approximately 80 nucleotides in length. Their secondary structure includes four short double-helical elements and three loops (D, anti-codon, and T loops). Further hydrogen bonds mediate the characteristic L-shaped molecular structure. tRNAs have two regions of fundamental functional importance: the anti-codon, which is responsible for specific mRNA codon recognition, and the 3' end, to which the tRNAs corresponding amino acid is attached (by aminoacyl-tRNA synthetases). tRNAs cope with the degeneracy of the genetic code in two manners: having more than one tRNA (with a specific anti-codon) for a particular amino acid; and 'wobble' base-pairing, i.e. permitting non-standard base-pairing at the 3rd anti-codon position.
Source: RNAcentral
AGGCUCGUGGUGUAGAGGCUAUCAUUAUGGGUUUUGGUCUCAUAGACCUCGGUUCAAAUCCGGGCGAGCCUG